This 260-nucleotide long non-coding RNA is filed under the name Musa acuminata (dwarf banana). Its description in RNAcentral is "long non-coding RNA (MACU_LNC009507)". Lineage: Eukaryota; Viridiplantae; Streptophyta; Magnoliopsida; Zingiberales; Musaceae. The record is from RNAcentral.
GUUGGGUUGAUGGCCCAUAUUCAGCCCAUGUGGGCUUUAUCAGCCCACAGCUCACACCCCCUCUUAACCUAACCCUAAUUAAGAUUAGGGAGGUAUGGUGGCUGUGUUUAAGAGGCAGAUUAAAGCUAUAAAAAGGCAGCAACGAGGCAGAUCUUUAGAGCCACGAGAUUCCAAAGAGAAGAAGGAGAACAAGGCAGAAAAGGAAAAGAAAGAAAGGGAAGAAGACAAGGACAACGCAGAGAGACAGUUCUCAAUCAUCU